CUAAUAUAGAUCUGAAUUCUGUUUGUUUCCCACAUUAUGAGAAAGUUAUGAGAGGUGAAUAAGUUGAGCACAAUUUAACGUAUGUAAAUGUUUAAGAUGAAGAAAGCCAGUACAAUAAAUCCUACGGCCAGCAAGGAGCCACAAUAACUGUGUAAUAAAGUGAGAGGCGGCUGAAGAAGAAGCAUUUAGCAACAGCCUGUCUGCAACAGAGUUAAUACUUCAUGCUUGAUUCUCUUGUUUUUUAUUUUUUGUGCACAUACAGAAUCUUUUAACCAUGUAAUAUUACUCUAUGCUUUGAAGAUUUGCUCAUUUUUAUAUUGGACACCUCCACUGACACAAACAUAAUAAAAACAUCAGUCAUUUUUAAGCUGAUCAUCAGGUAUUUAUGAAGGUAGUAAGGUUCAGAGAUGUUUGAAACACCUUCUUUAAUUUGUGCUGAAUCUAGUACAAGAUCUUUUUUUGGGCAAUAUUUCCUUUUAUCUGGGUCUGAUGGUGUAGCUACACUAAACUAUGUUACAGUGCAGUAAUGACUCAAAUAUUCUUCUCUGUCUUUAGUGUCCCACAAAAGGUUCUUUGUCAUCUUGGCGGGAAAAACUGAUGAUGCUCAUCUAGAGUUUGUGGCAAAGCUUGAAAGCAUUGGUCAUACUGAGGUGAACUCUCCAGAAGAAAGUGACUACCUUCUGGUUUUCUGUCCUUCAAGAGUUGGAACGGACAUCAGCGAGGCCCUGGAGAAACUUCCAGGUGGUAAACCAGCAAUUCUGGUUGUGAUGCAUCACACCUUCAACCCUAAAAAAGUUCUACCUGAAAGCAGAAGACUGGUGAACAACCCCAAUGUUGAGGUUACUGUGGACUGUCUGUUCUAUGAGGGCAAACUCCUGAAGUCCAACCGAAAUGAUAUUGCAUGGAUUGAUGUCCAGAAGUAUCUUGGAGUUUCCAAGGUAAUGACUAAAUUUACUGAUCUAAUACUAUCACACAAUCCCUGGGGAGUGCACUGAUAUUGUGAUAUUAAGGGAUAAGGGAUCAUUACUGU
Molecule: long non-coding RNA, 1030 nt
Filed under: Dicentrarchus labrax (European seabass)
Lineage: Eukaryota; Metazoa; Chordata; Actinopteri; Moronidae
Description: lncRNA (ENSDLAG00005031257.1)
Source: RNAcentral